RNAcentral lists this transfer RNA (75 nucleotides) under Cordylochernes scorpioides. Its description in RNAcentral is "tRNA-Thr". The record is from RNAcentral. Lineage: Eukaryota; Metazoa; Arthropoda; Arachnida; Pseudoscorpiones; Chernetidae.
GGCCAGGAAUGGGAAUCGAACCCAACAGUGUUCCGCUUACCGGGCAGAUGCCAUGUCCACUAGGCUACCCUGUAC